Molecule: ribosomal RNA, 253 nt
Filed under: uncultured bacterium
Lineage: Bacteria
Description: partial 16S ribosomal RNA
Rfam family: Bacterial small subunit ribosomal RNA
Source: RNAcentral
UACGGAGGGUGCAAGCGUUAUCCGGAUUCACUGGGUUUAAAGGGUGCGUAGGCGGACAGGUAAGUCAGUGGUGAAAUCUCCGAGCUUAACUCGGAAACUGCCUUUGAUACUCUCUGUCUUGAAUAUGGUGGAGGUAAGCGGAAUAUGUCAUGUAGCGGUGAAAUGCUUAGAGAUGACAUAGAACACCUAUUGCGAAGGCAGCUUACUACGCCUAUAUUGACGCUGAGGCACGAAAGCGUGGGGAGCAAACAGG